UACGGGGGGGGCAAGCGUUGUUCGGAAUUACUGGGCGUAAAGGGCGCGUAGGCGGUUCGUACAGUCAGACGUGAAAUUCCUGGGCUCAACCUGGGGGCUGCGUUUGAUACGUGCGGGCUUGAGUUCGGAAGAGGGUCGUGGAAUUCCCAGUGUAGAGGUGAAAUUCGUAGAUAUUGGGAAGAACACCGGUGGCGAAGGCGGCGACCUGGUCCGAUACUGACGCUGAGGCGCGAAAGCGUGGGGAGCAAACAGG
RNAcentral lists this ribosomal RNA (253 nucleotides) under uncultured bacterium. Its description in RNAcentral is "partial 16S ribosomal RNA". It matches the Rfam family "Bacterial small subunit ribosomal RNA", at positions 524 to 776 of the family's 1533-position model. The record is from RNAcentral.